Long non-coding RNA from Eutrema salsugineum, 864 nucleotides. RefSeq lists it as uncharacterized. Lineage: Eukaryota; Viridiplantae; Streptophyta; Magnoliopsida; Brassicales; Brassicaceae. The transcript is spliced from 3 exons. The record is from RefSeq and is a predicted model, not a curated record.
GGGGUAUGCAAAGUCUCUCUUACCUUUACAUCACUAAAAACCUUCACUACAUAAACAUCUCUGUCAAUUUCACCGAUAUGAGCUUCUCUCUACUUUCUCUCUCUUUCUCUCUCACCCUCACACUCUCCCUUUCUCACUCUUAGCCAUGGCUUCCCUUCUCUCUUUGUUCGGCGGAUGUCCACCGUAUUAUCCGAAUCACGAGGAUUGAGAUCCAUCAAAAGUCACGUUAUCGGAAACGGCGUUAUCAUAUCCAAUUUCGUUGACAUCGAUUCUAAAUCACCUAGAAGAGAUGUCGUUUGUAAAGCAUAGAAAUCUACUACAGAUAGUAUGCUCACGAUUUGAAAUCUUAUCGAUUCAAAUUUAUUCAAUUUCACCUGUAUUCAAAUUGGGUGAAAAAAUCGAGUGGAUUUACUAUUAAAUCAUUUCCAAUUUGUUUUCAAUUUCAAUUGGCUGUGCUUCGGAGUUUCUGGAUAAAUUGGUCUGAUGUUUGGAAGAAUUGUGUAGAAACGAGGAGCUUCUAAACUCUGGUUAAUUGAUGAAAUGAAGGUUUCAAACUGGUCUCUGGUUCUCAAAGGGAAACCUAUGUUUGCAAUGAUUGACCGCAAGAUAGCUAAGGCCAAACCCAAUUUGGAUCAUGUAUGUGGACAAGUGCACAUGGACAAGUCCAUUGAACUGAUGAAUUAUCUAUUAGAGUAUGUACACAUGGACAAGUCCAUUGAAGGGGAUAUGAACGAAGGAGAAAGAUAUAUAUGAGAUGGUGUCUGUAAAUUGUUUACCUUUUACAUUUUGACUUGGAGAGGCAAGCUUAGUACAAUGGUUGUAGUAAAAGGCUUUUUAUAUAUUUAUCAAAUAAACAUGACUAUA